Molecule: long non-coding RNA, 618 nt
Organism: Vombatus ursinus (common wombat)
Lineage: Eukaryota; Metazoa; Chordata; Mammalia; Diprotodontia; Vombatidae
Exons: 2
Source: RefSeq, a predicted model, not a curated record
CGCGACCGCGACAGGGCUCGACGGGACGCCACGGGCCGCACGACGGCCGGCCGGACGGAGGCACGGCCGGCGCGAGGCCUCAGCAAAAUUUAAACUCCCUGCUCUCUGGUGCCAGCUGUAGCUCCUGCGUCAUGGACCGAUAACUAUAAGGAACUCAGAAAUCAUCUACUUCCAACCCCCUCGUUUUACAGAUAAAGGAACUGAGGCCAAGAGGCCUGACUUGAGGCCCAGCUUGGGCAAGGCAAGACAGGUGGAAGAUCCAGGAUCUGACUGCUGCCUCCAAAUCUAGAACUCUUUCUAUGGUACCGCCUUAGGAUCCUCUAACCAGCCUGGCCCACUCUUUGCACCCCAGAACAUGCGUUGAGGUGUUUAUAAUCUACUUUGCGCCUUGUAUUCCCUAUGCCUGAGGUAUUUUUUCCUCUUAAUUCCUGUGUGCCUCUUUAAAGCCCUUCUCAGAGGCCACGUCUUUCAGUAAGCCUUUUUUGAUCUUCUCUGGUUGUUAAAGAUUCUGCUGUCCCCACAGCUUUGGAUUUAACUUUGCCUUUAAUUUUGCAAUUCUGUGACACAUGUAACUGUGAUGUAUUAAUGUUAAAUUAUUAAAAUGUUAAAUGACACUUG